This 1443-nucleotide ribosomal RNA is filed under the name Triticum aestivum (bread wheat). Its description in RNAcentral is "partial small subunit ribosomal RNA". Lineage: Eukaryota; Viridiplantae; Streptophyta; Magnoliopsida; Poales; Poaceae. The record is from RNAcentral.
AUGGCCUCCGCCUCCAAGCAGCAGAGCAUGUACCCGGAGGUACCCCAGUCCCACCCCGACCACAACACCGCCUUCCAGUACAAUCCCGCCGCCGCCAGCAGCACCGGCGGCGAGUCGCUCUACCCCACCAUGGACCCGCACGAGAUGGCCGAGAACCUCUUCCCAGCCGACGCGGCCGAGGACGCCGCGCCGGCCCCGCCCACGGUGGAGGAGACCCUCGUCGACGUGCCGGGCGCGCAGCUCCACCUCGUCGACCCGGACCGCAGCCUCGACCUCGGCGCCGGCACGCUCUCCAUCGUGCGCCUCCGCCAGGGCGACCACUGCGUCGCCGUCCUCGCGCGCCUCACCCCGGACAAGGCCCACAAGCGACGCGGCGUCUUCGGCUUCCUCAGCAGCGGCCGCUCCAGCGACGCGCAGGAGCCCGUGCAGUGGCCGCUCGCCGGCGACGUCGCCGUCGUCAAGCUCGACGCCGGCCACUACUUCUUCUCGCUCCACGUCCCGCACUCGGACCACCCUGACGACAAGGAGGACGCCGAGGCGGAGACGGACGCGGACCGGGAGGCGGCGCUGAGCUACGGGCUCACCGUCGCCGGGAAAGGGCAGGAGCAGGUGCUGGAGGAGCUGGACAGGGUCCUCAAGGAGUACACAACCUUCUCCGUCAAGCAGGUCGACGAGGAGGCCGGCGGCAAGUCGGAGGUCAUGGACACUAGGGCGGUGUCGGAGAUCACGCCGGAGGAGGCUGCCGGGGACAAGAAGGAGGAGAUUGAGGAGCAGUCCGCGGCGUUCUGGACGACAAUCGCGCCCAACGUGGACGACUACAGCUCGUCGGUGGCGAGGCUUAUCGCCAAGGGCUCCGGGCAGCUGGUAAGGGGCAUCAUCUGGUGCGGGGACAUCACAGCUACGGGCCUCAAAUGCGGGGAGGCGGUGUUGAAGAAGGGCGCGGGGGCGAACGGCAAGCAUACGCAGGUGAAGCCGAGCUCCCUCAAGAGGAUGAAGAGGGCCAGAAGGGUCACUAAAAUGUCGAACAAGGUAGCAAAUUCAAUUCUCUCAGGUGUUCUCAAGGUCUCGGGAUUUGUUACCAGCACUGUAGUCAACUCCAAACCCGCACAGAAGUUCUUCAAGUUAAUGCCUGGCGAAGUUAUUCUUGCUUCGCUGGACGGAUUUGGUAAAGUUUGGGACGCUGUUGAGGUGUCUGGAAAGAACGUGAUGAAAACAUCGUCAGUUGUCACUACUUCAGUUGUAACGCACAGGUACGGUGAUCAGGCAGGAGAGAUCACACAGGACUACCUCCACGCCACCGGAAACGCUCUUGGGGUCGCGUGGGCCGUCUUCAAGAUCCGGAAAGCGCUCGACCCAAAGGGGCACAUCAAGAAGUCGUCCCUGGCGAGCUCGGCGGCGCACGCUGUGGCUAAGCAAUCGAUCAGCCUGCAGAAGAAGAAGUAA